AAGUCGUAACAAGGUAACCGUAGGUGAACCUGCGGUUGGAUCAUUAACAAAGAUCUACUUGGAGUAGUAUUCCAUUUGGAAUCUACUCAACACCUCUGUGCACUUUAAUGUUUUUUUAGGGAUUGAAUAUGACAAUUGAAAAAUUGUUAUGUUUCACCCUUUAUUAUAAACUUUUUAUUUAUUUUAAUUAUUUUAAAAAGACCAAAAUCCAAAAACAACUUUUGACAAUGGAUCUCUUGGCUCUC
Molecule: unclassified non-coding RNA, 245 nt
Filed under: fungal sp.
Lineage: Eukaryota; Fungi
Description: partial internal transcribed spacer region
Rfam family: Eukaryotic small subunit ribosomal RNA (bases 1-46)
Source: RNAcentral